GCAGUCGAGCGAAUGGAUUGAGAGCUUGCUCUCAAGAAGUUAGCGGCGGACGGGUGAGUAACACGUGGGUAACCUGCCCAUAAGACUGGGAUAACUCCGGGAAACCGGGGCUAAUACCGGAUAACAUUUUGAACUGCAUGGUUCGAAAUUGAAAGGCGGCUUCGGCUGUCACUUAUGGAUGGACCCGCGUCGCAUUAGCUAGUUGGUGAGGUAACGGCUCACCAAGGCAACGAUGCGUAGCCGACCUGAGAGGGUGAUCGGCCACACUGGGACUGAGACACGGCCCAGACUCCUACGGGAGGCAGCAGUAGGGAAUCUUCCGCAAUGGACGAAAGUCUGACGGAGCAACGCCGCGUGAGUGAUGAAGGCUUUCGGGUCGUAAAACUCUGUUGUUAGGGAAGAACAAGUGCUAGUUGAAUAAGCUGGCACCUUGACGGUACCUAACCAGAAAGCCACGGCUAACUACGUGCCAGCAGCCGCGGUAAUACGUAGGUGGCAAGCGUUAUCCGGAAUUAUUGGGCGUAAAGCGCGCGCAGGUGGUUUCUUAAGUCUGAUGUGAAAGCCCACGGCUCAACCGUGGAGGGUCAUUGGAAACUGGGAGACUUGAGUGCAGAAGAGGAAAGUGGAAUUCCAUGUGUAGCGGUGAAAUGCGUAGAGAUAUGGAGGAACACCAGUGGCGAAGGCGACUUUCUGGUCUGUAACUGACACUGAGGCG
Molecule: ribosomal RNA, 715 nt
Filed under: Bacillus thuringiensis
Lineage: Bacteria; Bacillati; Bacillota; Bacilli; Caryophanales; Bacillaceae
Description: bacterial SSU rRNA
Rfam family: Bacterial small subunit ribosomal RNA
Source: RNAcentral